GAUUAAGUUAUUAAGGGCGCACGGUGGAUGCCUUGGCACUAGAAGCCGAUGAAGGACGUUACUAACGACGAUAUGCUUUGGGGAGCUGUAAGUAAGCUUUGAUCCAGAGAUUUCCGAAUGGGGAAACCCAGCAUGAGUUAUGUCAUGUUAUCGAUAUGUGAAUACAUAGCAUAUCAGAAGGCACACCCGGAGAACUGAAACAUCUUAGUACCCGGAGGAAGAGAAAGAAAAUUCGAUUCCCUUAGUAGCGGCGAGCGAAACGGGAAGAGCCCAAACCAACAAGCUUGCUUGUUGGGGUUGUAGGACACUCUAUACGGAGUUACAAAGGACGACAUUAGACGAAUCAUCUGGAAAGAUGAAUCAAAGAAGGUAAUAAUCCUGUAGUCGAAAAUGUUGUCUCUCUUGAGUGGAUCCUGAGUACGACGGAGCACGUGAAAUUCCGUCGGAAUCUGGGAGGACCAUCUCCUAAGGCUAAAUACUCUCUAGUGACCGAUAGUGAACCAGUACCGUGAGGGAAAGGUGAAAAGCACCCCGGAAGGGGAGUGAAAUAGAACCUGAAACCGUGUGCUUACAAGUAGUCAGAGCCCGUUAAUGGGUGAUGGCGUGCCUUUUGUAGAAUGAACCGGCGAGUUACGAUUUGAUGCAAGGUUAAGCAGUAAAUGUGGAGCCGUAGCGAAAGCGAGUCUGAAUAGGGCGUUUAGUAUUUGGUCGUAGACCCGAAACCAGGUGAUCUACCCUUGGUCAGGUUGAAGUUCAGGUAACACUGAAUGGAGGACCGAACCGACUUACGUUGAAAAGUGAGCGGAUGAACUGAGGGUAGCGGAGAAAUUCCAAUCGAACCUGGAGAUAGCUGGUUCUCUCCGAAAUAGCUUUAGGGCUAGCCUCAAGUGAUGAUUAUUGGAGGUAGAGCACUGUUUGGACGAGGGGCCCCUCUCGGGUUACCGAAUUCAGACAAACUCCGAAUGCCAAUUAAUUUGACUUGGGAGUCAGAACAUGGGUGAUAAGGUCCGUGUUCGAAAGGGAAACAGCCCAGACCACCAGCUAAGGUCCCAAAAUAUAUGUUAAGUGGAAAAGGAUGUGGCGUUGCCCAGACAACUAGGAUGUUGGCUUAGAAGCAGCCAUCAUUUAAAGAGUGCGUAAUAGCUCACUAGUCGAGUGACACUGCGCCGAAAAUGUACCGGGGCUAAACAUAUUACCGAAGCUGUGGAUUGUCCUUUGGACAAUGGUAGGAGAGCGUUCUAAGGGCGUUGAAGCAUGAUCGUAAGGACAUGUGGAGCGCUUAGAAGUGAGAAUGCCGGUGUGAGUAGCGAAAGACGGGUGAGAAUCCCGUCCACCGAUUGACUAAGGUUUCCAGAGGAAGGCUCGUCCGCUCUGGGUUAGUCGGGUCCUAAGCUGAGGCCGACAGGCGUAGGCGAUGGAUAACAGGUUGAUAUUCCUGUACCACCUAUAAUCGUUUUAAUCGAUGGGGGGACGCAGUAGGAUAGGCGAAGCGUGCGAUUGGAUUGCACGUCUAAGCAGUAAGGCUGAGUAUUAGGCAAAUCCGGUACUCGUUAAGGCUGAGCUGUGAUGGGGAGAAGACAUUGUGUCUUCGAGUCGUUGAUUUCACACUGCCGAGAAAAGCCUCUAGAUAGAAAAUAGGUGCCCGUACCGCAAACCGACACAGGUAGUCAAGAUGAGAAUUCUAAGGUGAGCGAGCGAACUCUCGUUAAGGAACUCGGCAAAAUGACCCCGUAACUUCGGGAGAAGGGGUGCUCUUUAGGGUUAACGCCCAGAAGAGCCGCAGUGAAUAGGCCCAAGCGACUGUUUAUCAAAAACACAGGUCUCUGCUAAACCGUAAGGUGAUGUAUAGGGGCUGACGCCUGCCCGGUGCUGGAAGGUUAAGAGGAGUGGUUAGCUUCUGCGAAGCUACGAAUCGAAGCCCCAGUAAACGGCGGCCGUAACUAUAACGGUCCUAAGGUAGCGAAAUUCCUUGUCGGGUAAGUUCCGACCCGCACGAAAGGCGUAACGAUUUGGGCACUGUCUCAACGAGAGACUCGGUGAAAUCAUAGUACCUGUGAAGAUGCAGGUUACCCGCGACAGGACGGAAAGACCCCGUGGAGCUUUACUGUAGCCUGAUAUUGAAAUUCGGCACAGCUUGUACAGGAUAGGUAGGAGCCUUUGAAACGUGAGCGCUAGCUUACGUGGAGGCGCUGGUGGGAUACUACCCUAGCUGUGUUGGCUUUCUAACCCGCACCACUUAUCGUGGUGGGAGACAGUGUCAGGCGGGCAGUUUGACUGGGGCGGUCGCCUCCUAAAAGGUAACGGAGGCGCUCAAAGGUUCCCUCAGAAUGGUUGGAAAUCAUUCAUAGAGUGUAAAGGCAUAAGGGAGCUUGACUGCGAGACCUACAAGUCGAGCAGGGUCGAAAGACGGACUUAGUGAUCCGGUGGUUCCGCAUGGAAGGGCCAUCGCUCAACGGAUAAAAGCUACCCCGGGGAUAACAGGCUUAUCUCCCCCAAGAGUUCACAUCGACGGGGAGGUUUGGCACCUCGAUGUCGGCUCAUCGCAUCCUGGGGCUGUAGUCGGUCCCAAGGGUUGGGCUGUUCGCCCAUUAAAGCGGUACGCGAGCUGGGUUCAGAACGUCGUGAGACAGUUCGGUCCCUAUCCGUCGUGGGCGUAGGAAAUUUGAGAGGAGCUGUCCUUAGUACGAGAGGACCGGGAUGGACAUACCUCUGGUGUACCAGUUGUCGUGCCAACGGCAUAGCUGGGUAGCUAUGUGUGGACGGGAUAAGUGCUGAAAGCAUCUAAGCAUGAAGCCCCCCUCAAGAUGAGAUUUCCCAACUUCGGUUAUAAGAUCCCUCAAAGAUGAUGAGGUUAAUAGAUUCGAGGUGGAAGCAUGGUGACAUGUGGAGCUGACGAAUACUAAUCGAUCGAAGACUUAAUCAA
This 2923-nucleotide ribosomal RNA is filed under the name Staphylococcus aureus subsp. aureus JKD6159. Its description in RNAcentral is "23S ribosomal RNA". It matches the Rfam family "Bacterial large subunit ribosomal RNA". The record is from RNAcentral. Lineage: Bacteria; Bacillati; Bacillota; Bacilli; Caryophanales; Staphylococcaceae.